RNAcentral lists this ribosomal RNA (303 nucleotides) under uncultured bacterium. RNAcentral's name for it is "bacterial SSU rRNA". It matches the Rfam family "Bacterial small subunit ribosomal RNA", at positions 355 to 655 of the family's 1533-position model. The record is from RNAcentral.
UGAGGAAUAUUGGUCAAUGGACGAAAGUCUGAACCAGCCAUGCCGCGUGCAGGAUGACGGCUCUAUGAGUUGUAAACUGCUUUUGUAUUAGGGUAAACACCCCUACGUGUAGGGGCUUGAAAGUAUAAUACGAAUAAGGAUCGGCUAACUCCGUGCCAGCAGCCGCGGUAAUACGGAGGAUCCAAGCGUUAUCCGGAUUUAUUGGGUUUAAAGGGUGCGUAGGCGGUUUGAUAAGUUAGAGGUGAAAUACCGGUGCUCAACACCGGAACUGCCUCUAAUACUGUUGAACUAGAGAGUAGUUGC